UAGGGAAUAUUGCGCAAUGGGCGAAAGCCUGACGCAGCGACGCUGCGUGAGUGAUGAAGGCCUUCGGGUUGUAAAGCUCUGUGGGGAGAGACGAAUAAGUGCAAGCUAAUACCUUGCAUGAUGACGGUAUCUCCUUAGCAAGCACCGGCUAACUCUGUGCCAGCAGCCGCGGUAAGACAGAGGGUGCAAACGUUGUUCGGAAUUACUGGGCGUAAAGCGAGUGUAGGCGGUUUCCUAAGUCAGGUGUGAAAGCCCCGGGCUCAACCCGGGAAGUGCACCUGAAACUGGGAGGCUAGAGUACUGGAGAGGUUGGUGGAAUUCUCGGUGUAGAGGUGAAAUUCGUAGAUAUCGAGAGGAACACCGGUGGCGAAGGCGGCCAACUGGACAGAUACUGACGCUGAGACUCGAAAGCGUGGGGAGCAAACA
RNAcentral lists this ribosomal RNA (426 nucleotides) under uncultured bacterium. RNAcentral's name for it is "bacterial SSU rRNA". It matches the Rfam family "Bacterial small subunit ribosomal RNA", at positions 355 to 774 of the family's 1533-position model. The record is from RNAcentral.